Molecule: ribosomal RNA, 501 nt
Filed under: uncultured bacterium
Lineage: Bacteria
Description: bacterial SSU rRNA
Rfam family: Bacterial small subunit ribosomal RNA
Source: RNAcentral
CCUGGCUCAGGACGAACGCUAGCUACAGGCUUAACACAUGCAAGUCGAGGGGCAGCACGGAGAUAGCUUGCUAUCUUGGGUGGACGACCGGCGCACGGGUGAGUAACGCGUAUCCAACCUGCCCUUCAUAUUGGGAUAGCCUUCCGAAAGGGAGAUUAAUACCGAAUAACAUGAGAAGAUUGCAUGAACCUCUCAUGAAAGCUCCGGCGAUGAAGGAUGGGGAUGCGUUCCAUUAGGUAGUAGGCGGGGUAACGGCCCACCAAGGCGACGAUGGAUAGGGGUUCUGAGAGGAAGGUCCCCCACACUGGAACUGAGACACGGUCCAGACUCCUACGGGAGGCAGCAGUGAGGAAUAUUGGUCAAUGGGCGUAAGCCUGAACCAGCCAAGUAGCGUGAAGGAUGACUGCCCUACGGGUUGUAAACUUCUUUUGUAUGGGAAUAAAGUUCAGUACGUGUACUGUUUUGUAUGUACCAUACGAAUAAGCAUCGGCUAAUUCCGUG